GACGAACGCUGGCGGCGUGCCUAAUACAUGCAAGUAGAACGCACAGUUUAUACCGUAGCUUGCUACACCAUAGACUGUGAGUUGCGAACGGGUGAGUAACGCGUAGGUAACCUGCCUGGUAGCGGGGGAUAACUAUUGGAAACGAUAGCUAAUACCGCAUAAUAUUGAUUAUUGCAUGAUAAUUGAUUGAAAGAUGCUAUUGCAUCACUACCAGAUGGACCUGCGUUGUAUUAGCUAGUAGGUGAGGUAACGGCUCACCUAGGCGACGAUACAUAGCCGACCUGAGAGGGUGAUCGGCCACACUGGGACUGAGACACGGCCCAGACUCCUACGGGAGGCAGCAGUAGGGAAUCUUCGGCAAUGGACGAAAGUCUGACCGAGCAACGCCGCGUGAGUGAAGAAGGUUUUCGGAUCGUAAAGCUCUGUUGUAAGAGAAGAACGGGUGUGAGAGUGGAAAGUGCACACUGUGACGGUAUCUUACCAGAAAGGGACGGCUAACUACGU
This 504-nucleotide ribosomal RNA is filed under the name uncultured bacterium. RNAcentral's name for it is "partial 16S ribosomal RNA". It matches the Rfam family "Bacterial small subunit ribosomal RNA", at positions 28 to 506 of the family's 1533-position model. The record is from RNAcentral.